CCUACGGGAGGCUGCAGUGAGGAAUAUUGGUCAAUGGCCGAGAGGCUGAACCAGCCAAGUCGCGUGAGGGAAGACGGCCCUACGGGUUGUAAACCUCUUUUGUCGGGGAGCAAAGCGAGUCACGUGUGACUCAUUGAGAGUACCCGAAGAAAAAGCAUCGGCUAACUCCGUGCCAGCAGCCGCGGUAAUACGGAGGUUGCGAGCGUUAUCCGGAGUUAUUGGGUUUAAAGGGUGCGCAGGCGGAGGUGCAAGUCAGCGGUCAAAUUGCGGGGCUCAACCCCGUACUGCCGUUGAAACUGCAUGCCUUGAGUGCGCGAGAGGCAUGCGGAAUGCGUGGUGUAGCGGUGAAAUGCAUAGAUAUCACGAAGAACUCCGAUUGCGAAGGCAGCAUACCGGCGCGCAACUGACGCUCAUGCACGAAAGCGUGGGUAUCGAACAGGAUUAGAUACCCUGGUAGUC
This 459-nucleotide ribosomal RNA is filed under the name uncultured bacterium. Its description in RNAcentral is "partial 16S ribosomal RNA". It matches the Rfam family "Bacterial small subunit ribosomal RNA", at positions 338 to 795 of the family's 1533-position model. The record is from RNAcentral.